GGGAUGACACAGUAGGAUAAGCUAAGCACACUGUUGGUUAUGUGUGCCCAAGCAUUGAGGCAGUCAAAGUAGGCAAAUCCGCUUUGAUAAUGCUGGGAUGUGAUGGGGAGCGAAAUUUAGUAGCGAAGUAGCUGAUUUCACACUGUCAAGAAAAGUCUCUAUCGAGGUUAAAGGUACCCGUACCGCAAACCGACACAGGUGGGUGAGGAGAGUAUCCUAAGGCCAGCGAGAGAACUGUUGUUAAGGAACUCGGCAAAAUGACCCCGUAACUUAGGGAUAAGGGGUGCCACCAUCAGGUGGCCGCAGAGAAUAGGCCCAAGCGACUGUUUACCAAAAACAUAGGUUUCUGCUAAGUCGCAAGACGAUGUAUAGGAGCUGACGCCUGCCCGGUGCUGGAAGGUUAAGGGGAUCUGUUAGAGCAAUCGAAGCAGUGAACUUAAGCCCCAGUAAACGGCGGCCGUAACUAUAACGGUCCUAAGGUAGCGAAAUUCCUUGUCGGGUAAGUUCCGACCCGCACGAAAGGCGUAACGAUUUGGGCACUGUCUCAACAACAGACUCGGUGAAAUUGUAAUUCCGGUGAAGAUGCCGGAUACCUGCGACAGGACGGAAAGACCCCAUGGAGCUUUACUGUAGCUUGACAUUGGGUCUUGGUACUACAUGUACAGGAUAGGUGGGAGGCUUUGAAACCAGGACGCCAGUUUUGGCGGAGCCAUCCUUGGGAUACCACCCUUGUAGUACUGGGACUCUAACCAUAGGCCAUGAAUCUGGUCUUGGGACACUGUCAGGUGGGCAGUUUGACUGGGGCGGUCGCCUCCCAAAAGGUAACGGAGGCGCUCAAAGGUUCUCUCAGUACGGUCGGAAAUCGUACGUAGAGUGUAAAGGCAAAAGAGAGCUUGAUUGCAAGACAUACAGGUCGAGCAAGGAUGAAAAUCGGACUUAGUGAUCCGGUGGUUCUGCGUGGAAGGGCCAUCGCUCAACGGAUAAAAGCUACCCUGGGGAUAACAGGCUUAUCUCCCCCAAGAGUCCACAUCGACGGGGAGGUUUGGCACCUCGAUGUCGGCUCAUCACAUCCUGGGGCUGUAGUAGGUCCCAAGGGUUGGGCUGUUCGCCCAUUAAAGUGGUACGCGAGCUGGGUUCAGAACGUCGUGAGACAGUUCGGUCCCUAUCCGUCGCAGGCGUAGGAAAUUUGAGAAGACCUGUCCUUAGUACGAGAGGACCGGGAUGGACGUACCUCUGGUGUACCAGUUGUCCUGCCAAGGGCAUGGCUGGGUAGCUAUGUACGGAAUGGAUAAGCGCUGAAAGCAUCUAAGCGCGAAGCCAACUUCAAGAUAAGAUUUCCCACCGCAAGGGUAAGACCCCAGAAAGACUAUCUGGUUGAUAGGUCGAAGGUGUAAGUGCAGCAAUGUAUUUAGCUUAUCGA
This 1420-nucleotide ribosomal RNA is filed under the name Clostridioides difficile. RNAcentral's name for it is "partial 23S ribosomal RNA". It matches the Rfam family "Bacterial large subunit ribosomal RNA", at positions 1466 to 2898 of the family's 2925-position model. The record is from RNAcentral. Lineage: Bacteria; Bacillati; Bacillota; Clostridia; Peptostreptococcales; Peptostreptococcaceae.